RNAcentral lists this ribosomal RNA (374 nucleotides) under Anastrepha fraterculus. RNAcentral describes it as "partial 28S ribosomal RNA". The record is from RNAcentral. Lineage: Eukaryota; Metazoa; Arthropoda; Insecta; Diptera; Tephritidae.
CCAUACACUGCAUCUCACAUUUGACAUAUAGACAAAGUGACUUAGUGCUGAACUAUUUUCUUUUCGCUCGCCGCUACUAAGAAAAUCCUUGUUAGUUUCUUUUCCUCCCCUAAUUAAUAUGCUUAAAUUCAGGGGGUAAUCCCAUAUGAGUUGAGGUUGUUAUAAUAUUUUUUAUCUUCUCACAAUUUAAUAAAUAAUUAUAUCAUCUUUUCAUCUCUAUUUUUUUCUUUUUUCCUUUUAUAUAAUUUUUUUUUUCCUUCCCCGGGGGGUAAUUAUGUAAAABGAGGCAAUUCUAGGAUAAAAAAAAUUAUUUUUAUGCUAGACAUUCCUCCCUAAUUACAUAUAUAAAUUUUUUAUUUCCCAUAUAUAUGCAC